GGUAACCCCCGAAUAAAUCACCGCUAGGGAAAAGAAUCGCCAUCGACGCAGAGACAAUCAAAGAUAUACACAUGGCUAAUGGAAUUCAAUCGGAGACAAACGGGAAUAUUAUUGUGUUUUAUAGUGAUUACAAACCUUGAGUUUGAGUGGGUGAAGGACGCGAGACAUAUUCAGGUUUAGGGUUUAUUAAUUUCUCAAGGAGUUUGAUACACCCUGAACUUGGGGUUUAUCAAACUCAGGAAUAUAACUUUGUUCAGGGUUUGUCAUUUCUUAUCGUAGUUGAUGCGGGGGGAUGAUCAGGUUCCGUCGUUAGUCUGCAAUACAGCCAUAGUAGAACCAGUUAUUCAAAUCGUUCGAGUCUAACUUAGCAGGUGGCUGAGGGUGCCAGAACAGCCUGUGCUUCACGAAUUGACAAUUAAAAGUUUGAGCGAGGUUCAAGGCUUAAAUUUAUAAAUAAUCAGCUCAGGCAACAGAGAGCUCUUCAACAGUUGGGAAUGAUCCAGCACAAUGCUUGGAGACCUCAGAGACAGUUGCCAAAACGUUCUGUUUCAGUUCUUCGUGCUUGGCUAUUUGAGCAAUUCCUCCACCCUUAUCCCAAAGACUCAGACAAACAUAUGCUCGCGAAGCAAACAAUUCUUAGUAGGAGUCAGGUGUCUAAUUGGUUCAUAAACGCCCGAGUGCGCCUCUGGAAGCCAAUGGUAGAAGAAAUGUACACUGAGGGCGAGCUGUUUUGCUAUUAUACUAAUCAAGAGGCCCCUCCAGUUGUGUAAUCAUAUGUAAUUGCUGUCUACAGAUCCCAGCUCUUAUCUUUCCAAAGCCGGGGACGACAACUCAAAAAAUCUAGAAUGAGGAAGGUUUCUUUCUCGUCUUCAAAACUUUUUUAAUGCCACAGAAAAGAUGGAAGGCAUGCAUGCAUGAUGCACCUGCAUAUAAGCUUUUUAAGGUUUUUGACGAAGCUUUUGACCGAGGAUUUACUACGACUAUUUGUUCGUCCAAAGAAGAUUGUUUUUGGAUUUCCAGAAGGGAAAAGCAGUUGGUCCCCUUCCCACUGCUUUUCGGUCUGGAGAAGUACAAGAAGGCAACAAGGACUAUGAGGGGAAAUUACCGGUUACCCUUGUAGAUGCUAGAAAGCUCUUUUAUGUUUUUCCUGGAAAGACAGACCCGUAUGUUAUUCUAAAAUUGGGAGAUCAAGUCAUACGUAGUAAAAAGAACAGUCAGACAACUGUCAUUGGUUCUCCUGGUGAGCCAAUUUGGAAUCAGGUGACGUUUCUUGUCAUUUAGCCUUCAUGCAUUGUUAAACUUGCACUGGUGAUGCAAUUCUGCAGCCAGGAAGAAUGUGAAGGGUGUGUUUUGGUAACACCCAUCACAUUUAGUAGGCCAUCUGUCUUCCAGUGUUGGUUUAGUCGUCAAAUCUGGGAUAAUUUUAAACAGAAACAUUCGCUAUUUACUGAUCAUAAUUCAUGGAAUCAUAUUAUCGAGCAUGCUUCGAGCGAUGGAAAUUAAAAUUGUUAGCGCAUGUGGUUAGUAAGUUGGCUUUGGAUAGCAUAGGCUAUUUUAUCUAGCAAGAACGAAAUUUGAAAUUGUUUUAGACUCAAAAUAGAGCUCCUACCCAUAUGAUUUCUCUUAAUGAAGAAGCUAUUCAUUUAAAAAUCAUGGGGCUGAAUAUUAGAGUAUUAGAAAUAACAUGAGAGGAUUUCCAUUUUUCAGAAUGGAAUAUAUCCUGAGAGUUGACUUCAAUCCAAAGGUGUUCACAUGUGGUUCUGGAAGUUGCAUAAAUCAUUUUACAUAAAUUAUUAUUAUUUUUUUAAAUUUCAAAUCAUGUACAUUGAAUAUAAUUAACUAAAAAGCAAUUUUAGCUAUAAUUUGAAAGAUUAAUAAUAUUUUUUUUAAAAUAAUCUAUAUUUUAGUACUAAACAAAAGAAAUGGGAGAUGGAUGACGGUUUUUAAAAUUGUACUUUUCUUUAUCCUUGAAUAUGGUAAAAAAACCUUUUAUAAUUACUAUUAACUCCCAAUAUUUGUUUCUUUCUGUUCCUUUCUUACUUUAAGGGAGUACCCUCUAACUUUAGUAAUGUGCUCAUAUUUGUAAAAGAUUUUAUGUCUCCCAGGUGGGACUGGAUUUGAUCCCCCAAAGAUGGUUUGGUGAAACAAGCCCCCCCCAGAAGAAUGAGUAAUUUAUACAAUGCGGAUGUUACAUUGUUUAGGUAAUCCUUUUUUUAGUUAUAAAAUUGUGCAUUUCGUAGAAUUUAUCUCUUUGGCUGAUUGUGAAGAAUAAUGUAGAAAAACAUGAGAUAACUUGCAUUCUUGCCUUCUCCGGCUUUCUUAUAGAGUAGUGACAUAGAGUGAAUGUUGUCAGUGUCAACAACCAAGGGCACUUGGAGUAUAUAACAUGAAUAGAGGCGUAGAGCCCUUAUGUUUGCUUAGUCUUUAGCGUAUCUAAAACUUGAUUAAGCCCGAUUAAGGAUGCCGGAUUUGACGCUUUACUUCUUUGUUUCUGUAAUAAAAAAAGUUUCAGAUAGUUGCCAUCACAAAGGAAUUUAGUAACUUUUAUUAGAAUGAAUAAAGCUUCUGGUCGAGUUGUGGUCACUUAUUGGUUGUUCGUGCUUGCUUUCAUGUUGCUCAACUUCUUAUACUAUGAUAACCACUAACCCUUGACAAAUGUGAAGUACAUUACAGAACUCUUCUUCCUGGUGUUUUAAUAAUUUGGCAAAGAGAUGGUUGAGCCAUGACAGCUAAGAGAGGAAUUGUCGUUCGUGGAAGCUUUAGGUCUUUAUACUAGAUUAUGUAUGCUGUAUAAAAAUCUAGGAUAUAUCACGUCCAUUUUCCAUUGUUCUUAGGGCUCCGCUAUUUUAGUGAAAGCCGAGAAGAAGGGGGAACAAUUAAGAUGUCAGACAUAUUUGUCACUAACAAGAAUAGAUCACUGCUCGUAUCAUCGCAUCAUCGUAUCAUAUGUACCUUGGUCUCUUUCUACUGAAUUCAUACUUUUUUGUUUAAUCUACAAAGUUGUAUUUUUUGUGAACUUUGUGAUGUAUAUGUUCCAUUUGAUUAUGUGACAAUGAAGGGGACUUGGAUUAUAAUAUGAGUGGAGCCUUAUGUUUGCUUACUCUAGCA
This is an RNA transcript of Daucus carota subsp. sativus, 3108 nucleotides long. RefSeq lists it as uncharacterized. The transcript is spliced from 8 exons. NCBI's taxonomy places the organism in Eukaryota, Viridiplantae, Streptophyta, Magnoliopsida, Apiales, Apiaceae. The record is from RefSeq and is a predicted model, not a curated record.